Molecule: ribosomal RNA, 507 nt
Filed under: uncultured bacterium
Lineage: Bacteria
Description: partial 16S ribosomal RNA
Rfam family: Bacterial small subunit ribosomal RNA
Source: RNAcentral
GACGAACGCUGGCGGCGUGCUUAACACAUGCAAGUCGAACGGGCCUUGUCCCCUUUUUUUUUGGGGGUGGGGUUAGUGGCGAACGGGUGAGUAACACGUGAGUAACCUGCCCCUCACUUCUGGAUAACCGCUUGAAAGGGUGGCUAAUACGGGGUGUUUUGGCCUGCUCGCAUGGGUGGGUUUGGAAAGAUUCGACCGGUUUUGGCGGUUUUGGUGGGGGAUGGGCUCGCGGUCUAUCAGCUUGUUGGUGGGGUGAUGGCCUGGCAAGGCUUUGACGGGUGGCCGGCCUGGGAGGGUGGGCGGUCACAGUGGGACUGCGACGCGGCCCAGACUCCUACGGGAGGCAGCAGUGGGGAAUAUUGCACGAUGGGCGCAAGCCUGAUGCAGCGACGCCGCGUGAGGGAUGGAGGCCUUCGGGUUGUGAACCUCUUUCGCCAGUGAAGAAGGUCCUGCUCUUUGUGGUGGGGUUGACGGUAGCUGGGUUAAUGAAGCGCCGGCUAACUACGU